UCCUCCUACAAAGGCAUGUUUUGGGUUCCCUGUCCUUGGACAUGUAAGAAUCGAGGCAAAGAAAUUUGGUGGAUUUGGAAAGGUCUGGGACCAACUCCCCAUCCCCACCCCACCUCACCCCUGCGCAGGCUCAAGAUCAACCAUCC
This 146-nucleotide small nucleolar RNA is filed under the name Mus caroli (Ryukyu mouse). RNAcentral's name for it is "predicted gene, 25388 (MGP_CAROLIEiJ_G0036254.1)". It matches the Rfam family "Small nucleolar RNA SNORA38". From Rfam's summary of the family: ACA38 is a member of the H/ACA class of snoRNA that guide the sites of modification of uridines to pseudouridines. The record is from RNAcentral. Lineage: Eukaryota; Metazoa; Chordata; Mammalia; Rodentia; Muridae.